RNAcentral lists this transfer RNA (76 nucleotides) under Thalassospira profundimaris. RNAcentral describes it as "tRNA-Phe". It matches the Rfam family "tRNA". Rfam says of the family: Transfer RNA (tRNA) molecules are approximately 80 nucleotides in length. RNAcentral also lists the same sequence under 12 other names. Lineage: Bacteria; Pseudomonadati; Pseudomonadota; Alphaproteobacteria; Rhodospirillales; Thalassospiraceae. The record is from RNAcentral.
GCCCAGGUAGCUCAGUUGGUAGAGCAGUGGACUGAAAAUCCGCGUGUCGGUGGUUCGAAUCCGCCCCUGGGCACCA